Acipenser ruthenus (sterlet) is the source of this 1578-nucleotide long non-coding RNA. RefSeq lists it as uncharacterized. The record is from RefSeq and is a predicted model, not a curated record. The transcript is spliced from 3 exons. Lineage: Eukaryota; Metazoa; Chordata; Actinopteri; Acipenseriformes; Acipenseridae.
AUGAAUGAUGAGAUCAUUAAGAUAAAGUGCAUUUUCAAUUGAAGCCUUUUUCCUUUUUUUCCUUUAACAGCAUUUUCUCUGUGGAUUUCUUUCCCAUUCUGCCGUUCUGCAGAUAGCAACAGCAGAGAUCCAAGAGGCGAGGUACACUACAGUAGUUGCUGUCCGAGACUAGCAGACCCAAGUGCUGGUGGAGUAUUUGAAGAACAUGGCAUGCCAGCAGAGACAGCGGGAAAUACAGAAAGCACAGAAAUAAAAAGAUGACAACUGCUAAACCAUCUCUGGAAGUGACUACUAAAAUACAGGGGUCUUCAGAACAGAAAAAAGGGAGAAGUUUAAUUCUGAUUUCUACAGCAGCAAGAGAAAGGGGGGAACUACUUGCCUCUCCCAACAAGCAGCAACUCAACCAUCAGGAAAUACUGCUUCACCCAGACUGACUUUUCCACUGCUCACAUGGUGUGCAAAGUGCUACAAAUCAAGCCUGGGGAAAUCAAACAUCAUCUGUUUCUCUUGACAGGUAAAUUGAUUUUUAUGAAUUUUGUCUGGGCGGAAAUGUAUUUGAAUUUGAAUAAUCUGCAUAUGAAUCAGUACAGGCUUUUAAUGCAGAACAACACAACCUACUGCUGUUUACUUUUUACUGAUGCAUGUUUUAUGCAUUAUAGUACUGAGAAAAAUGUCUGUAGAUUUCUGAAUUAACAUCAGUGAUAGAUGAGCGAUUAUUAUUAUUAAUUAACAGACGCCCUUAUCCAGGGCGACUCAUAAUUGUUACAAGAUGUACAUUAUUCUUUUCAUACAAUUACCCAUUUAUGCAAUCUAGGUAAAGUACCUUGCUCAAGGGUACAGCAGCAGUAUCCCCCCACCUGGGAUUGAACCCACAGCCCACCGGUCAAGAGUCCAGAGCCCUAACCACUACUCCACACUGCUGCCCUGCGAUUGUAGGCCUGUAACUUAAACAUACCUAUAUGUAUGUCACAUUAGCACCACAAGUCGUUCUUAUACAUACAGACAUUAAUAGAUUCUGGGCCGUAAUAUCUAUGUGAGCAGUGUCCUAGUAGAUUAGGCCAAAAUAAUAAAAAUAUUAUUGUGAUCACUAGUAGUAACAGUGAGCUGUUAAACUGUUUGAAAAAAUAAAAAGUGUGAUUUCUAAUGCUUAAAGUUAUUUUCUACUGGUAGCUUAUUAAUUACAGGCAAUUUGGGAAGUCUGUGGAUGGUUAUCCAGUUUGGUGGUGUUGAUAACGCUUUUAGCCUCCAUUAGGUUGUCUGACAAGGUUACAAAGAGCCUGUGCCCCAGCCAUACACCUCCACAGGCCUGCUAAUACCAGCCACCUCAAGUAAGGCACCUUCACAAGACCUUGGCAAGACAUAAAGUGUGCAGCCGCGGUGGCGCAAUCUCCAAUCUUAUGUUAGAGAAAGCAAUUUGCUUAAUAGAGGAAUAUGAGAUUCAAGUGACCGUCAGCUGGUUGGAGUGUGCUUCAUCAAUACAGUCACAAGGGUUCAGGUAUGCAGGACUGGAAUCACACCCAGUAUGGAUGUUCCCUGGCUGUAUGGUAAUUAUAUCACUCAAUAGGCACUUGCAUUCCU